Molecule: transfer RNA, 87 nt
Filed under: Patescibacteria group bacterium
Lineage: Bacteria
Description: tRNA-Ser
Rfam family: tRNA
About the family: Transfer RNA (tRNA) molecules are approximately 80 nucleotides in length. Their secondary structure includes four short double-helical elements and three loops (D, anti-codon, and T loops).
Source: RNAcentral
GGAGGAGUGGCCGAGUGGUUGAAGGCGCAGCUCUCGAAAAGCUGUAUACCCGCAAGGGUAUCAGAGGUUCGAAUCCUCUCUCCUCCG